UAGGGAAUCUUCCGCAAUGGGCGAAAGCCUGACGGAGCAACGCCGCGUGAGUGAUGAAGGUCUUCGGAUCGUAAAACUCUGUUAUUAGGGAAGAACAAAUGUGUAAGUAACUAUGCACGUCUUGACGGUACCUAAUCAGAAAGCCACGGCUAACUACGUGCCAGCAGCCGCGGUAAUACGUAGGUGGCAAGCGUUAUCCGGAAUUAUUGGGCGUAAAGCGCGCGUAGGCGGUUUUUUAAGUCUGAUGUGAAAGCCCACGGCUCAACCGUGGAGGGUCAGUGGAAACUGGAAAACUUGAGUGCAGAAGAGGAAAGUGGAAUUCCAUGUGUAGCGGUGAAAUGCGCAGAGAUAUGGAGGAACACCAGUGGCGAAGGCGACUUUCUGGUCUGUAACUGACGCUGAUGUGCGAAAGCGUGGGGAUCAAACAGG
Molecule: ribosomal RNA, 429 nt
Filed under: Actinomycetes bacterium
Lineage: Bacteria; Bacillati; Actinomycetota; Actinomycetes
Description: Actinobacteria bacterium partial 16S ribosomal RNA
Rfam family: Bacterial small subunit ribosomal RNA
Source: RNAcentral